UUUUUUUUUUUUUUUUUUAAGCAAGCAAAGUGUUUAUUACUGGAAAGCAGAUAGCUCCCAGGGCUGCUGGGAGCGGGAAGAAGAGUCCCCUUCUUCUGUUGUCCUUUAGGGUUUUUAUUCCUUAAAGAUGGGGGGUACCAACAUGGGGUCCAGAAAGAUGUGGUUUUCUCCCAUUGGCCUUGCUCAAUUACCUAUAUCAGUCCUUGUCCAAUAGGGUCUUAGGGGUGGGAGGUGAUGUAUUUACAGUUCUUGGUACAUAAGAAGUGUUGAAUAAGUGUGUGGUAGGUAUUACUUUUGUUGGCGACCAUCUCCACUGUCCUCUCUUACCUUACUCCAGGUAAUCCUCAAAUGUGAGCCUGGCUGUCUGUGUUCUGCCCAUCCCCCUCCUACAUACUCUCUAAAUGCUUCAGUUUUCACUUAGAGCCAUUCAAGAAGUGUCCAGCUGGGGAGGCCUGGAGCAGAGAUCAUUAUCCUCUUUAGCCCAAAGCUGGAGAUCUGGCCCCUGGUUGCAAUGCUCAGCCAAGAAGAAGGCAACAGGCUUCCUGGGAGCUGGGCCUGUUCCCAACCAUCCCUUUAGCCUAGGGAGGGGCCCCCAAGAAGAACACUGCAGUCCAAGCUCAACCUUUGGAAAGAGCCACAGCCUCCCUGUUUGGAAAGAUACUCCCCAAGCAAGUCCUGUCCAUGGCCUCCUUGAAAUUUACUUUGAGAAAGAUACCAAUGGGUGUUCCCACCUCAGGAUUGGAACUCAUAUGCUCCAAAAUACAGGGGAUGUAUGAUUCUGGAAGCUCCUUGGAAAUUCAAAACCUCAAGACCCAUAUAGAAGAGGCAGACAUCUGCAACUCUAGAUGAGUGAAGACAGUUUUCUCUCCAGGAUAAGAACAAGCAGCCUGGCCCAGAGAAUUCUUGCAGAGCCACUCAAGCCUGUGUUUCAGUAAGACGACAACCCAGAGAAAACCCAGCAGCAACAAGACUCCUUGGAGAGUGUUCUGUUGGGAUGGGAAUGAAUGAGAAGCAUCUUUUAGGGAAGAGGCAAUGAGGAUGACACUGCAUCUGUGUAGUGUUUUGAUGGUACUUACCAAUUUUAUAUUUAUAUUGUCUGCUUUUAUUUUUAAAACAGCUCUGUUAAUUCAGUAGACCAGGCACAUUUAAUCCCAUAUUACAGUGGGGAAAACUGAUAUUUAGAAGGUCCAGCUGAUUUUCCAGACUUGCAUUUAAUUACACGCAGACUUGAAAUUUUGUUUGCACCUAUAAUGCUUUUUAAUGGCCCAUCCAACCUCCCAGCUCCCAGCUGAACUUAGACUCAAUGGAAGAAGCUGAAAAUCAGUAGGAUGCCUGCCUUCAAUGACAGAAGCACAUAGAUUGUUGUGGUUCAAAUCUUCCUUCUUAUGAAAUGUCUCUUCCAGAUGUUUUCAUAAGAAGACUCAAAAAUUAUAUCCUGUAGAAGCUAAAUUUAAAAUCUCUUCCAACUUCCAAUAAUUAGUUUCAAAUAUGUGGCUGCUAUUUCUUAUGAAUUUGCCUUCUGAAAUAUAUAUGACAGAAUGUCACCUUAAGAAAAUAAUUUUCUCUAAAAAGUAUUUGAAAAGUUGUCUCCUAUAAUUUGAAACAAUUUGCUUCAUGAUUGACUUUUGGAAUGGAUGAAGGGCACUUUCUUCCUGAAAUGUUUCUUAAAAGUCAUACAUAUUUACUGACUUGUAAGCUUUGACUUGCACAUGAUGAAUUUAGCUUUGAUUGACUUGAUUGUUUGAUUGGUUUAUCAGCUGGGUAAUUUGCAAAGUGAGUUUAUAAUCACAUACUUUUAUUCAGCAAUAAUACCUCUCCUGAAGUCAGCUUCUUCACUCCUGUUUCUUUCCUUUCCUUUCUUUUUUCUUUUCUUUUCUUUUUUCUUUUCUUUUCUUCUCUCUUUUGACAGCACCUGGGCAUGCGGAAGGAAGUUCUCAGGCCAGGGAUCGAACCAACACCAUUGCAGUAAUCAGAGCCUAUGCAGUGACUAUUCCAGAUCCUUAACCUGCUGAGCCACAAGAGAACUCCCACUCUUGUUUCUUAAGAGAUUUUUAAAGACAUUGGCAAUAAGACAAUCCUUUCUGUUGGAAUAAGAGGAGUAGCAGUGUACAUUUGGAAGGUUUAUGGGAUUUAGAUCUAAUUUUGAUGCCAAACUUACUAAAUCCAUUCAUUCAUUCAUUCAUCUGAAAAAGCAUCCUAUCUGAUAUGCCCAGCAUUGCUAUCUAGGCAUAGAUGACAAUGAAUAAAACUCAUGGGUCCUGCCCUUGAAGAAUUUACAAUCUAGCAAUUUUACUCACUGUGUGUCCUAGGCAAGUUACAAUUUGUCCCUGAGAUCCAUUUUAAACUGUAAAUUAUACAAUAAUGGAUACUAAAAUACUAAAACGGGAAAAUAUGUUUUCUUCUCAAGACUGUGGUAAAAAAUUAUUAAAAUAGCAUAAGGCACCUGGUUCACGGCUGGUGGUCAAGUAAACGCGGAUAUGUGUCCUACUUAAUUAAAUCGGGUCCAGCAGCAGAGGGCAGCAGAAUCACCUCUGCAGGCUCAGAAAAAUCCCUGCAGUGUAGGUUCGCCCUCACUGUGCUGCUCUCCCAGCUUCCCUGUUACUUGGCUUUACUCACUGGUAUCACCUCUUCCAGUCUUGGCAGAGCACUUUGCAUUACGGAUCAAGGUCUCCUCCUCGACCCUUCCCGAACCCUUGGCUUCCCUAAAUCUCCACCAUCUCUCUCAGCACUCUUACUGCUUCCCAGCUCCUUUCUUCUCUCCUCCUCCUCCUCCAUACGGGGACUAUCUCCAUGCACAUGGCACCCACGUCUUCACUGGCCGUAACCCUUCUUCCACUCACCAUCCAGUUCCAUCUGUCUGACAUGCAGGCUGGCCUCCCGCUGAACAAUUCCAGAAUCUUCUCUUCAAAGGGGCCCUCCUUCUCUACCCUUUUGAUUUUGAUUUAUGAUGAUGAAUCUUUUCAUACCGUAGACAAAUGAUCGUCAAAUGUUGACUUGGCCCAGUCUCCUGAAUCUGUCCUCGCCUUUUCUUCCCCAUUACCUUUGUGCAUCGUCUCAUGCCUCUUACUUGGGCUAUAGCAAAUGGGCCCUUGCUCUGUCUUCCUCCAUCCCACCUUGCUUAGACUACUAGAUGCAACUCGAUUCCUAAAGCACACCUCUGAUCACCUUGCUUCCUUGCUCAGAAACCUUUGAUGACUCCCCAAAGCAGACAAAGUCAUGUCGAGGAGUUUCCUCAGUCUGACACCUGGGCAGCUCUUCACAAUCUGACUUCAGCUGACCUUUCUGUCUUCUCUCUUUGGGGCUCUUUAACCUCUUCCCCACACUCCUUCAGGUUAUGAGCAUUGAUCACAGGAGCACACAUCUGUCAUUAGCAUGGGGGCUCUGAAUGGCAGAGAGGAUGCUAUCAAGUCAUAAAACUAAGAGCCCAGUUUGGCACAUUCAGGAAACUCACCAAAGGUUGGAGAGGCGUGAACAAAGGGGAUCAUGUGUGGGGUGUGACUGGUGAGGAGGCAGGGCCAUCCACUCAGGGCUUUAGGGAGACCCAGUGGCCAAUUCUGCACUUUGUCCUAAAAGCAAUGGAAAACCAUGGGAUGGUUUUAAAUGUUUUGCAGGAUUGAAAUCUCAUUUUUUAUUUUUUCCUACUUAUGUUUUUUUUUUGUUUGGUUUGGUUUGGUUUGGUUGCACCUGUGACCUGUGAAAGUUCCCGAGCCAGGGACUGAACCUGUACCACAGCUAUAAUCAGAGCCACAGCAGUGAUGGGCUGGAUCCUUAACCUGCUGAGCCACGAGGGAACUCCUUUUUUUUUUUUCCCCAGUUUUGGCUACCCCUCAGCAUAUGGAGCUCCCAGGCCUGGGAUCAGAUCCAAGCUGCAGUCAUGACCUAAGUCAUAGCUGCAGCAAUACCAGAUCUUUAACCCACUGUGCCAGGCCAGGGAUCAAACCUGCCUCCCAGUGCUCCUAAGACACUACUGAUCACAUUGUGCCAUAGCAAGAGGUCCUUCAUUAGUUUUAAAAAAAAAAUUUUAUUGAAAUAUAUUUGAUUUACAAUGUGGUGUUAAUUUCUGCUGUGCAGCAGUGAUUCAGGUAUACAUAUAUAUAGUCUUUUUCAUACUCUUUCCAUUAUGAUUUAUCCAUUAUGAUUUACACUAAGAUCUUGUUGUUUAUCCAUUCUAUGUCUAAUAAUUUGCCUCUGCCCAUCCCAAGCCCCAAAUCCUACUCUCUCCCACCUGUCCCCUUUGGCAACUACAAGUCUGUUCUCUACGUGUGUGAGUCUGUUUCUGGUUUGUAGAUAGGUUCAUUUUGCCAUAUUUUAUAUUCCACAUAUAAGUGAUAUUUGUCUUAUAUUUCUUUUUUUAUUACUCAGUGAAUUUUAUUAUGUGUAUGGUUGUACAACAAUCAUCACAACCAAAUGUUACAUUUGUCUCAUAUUUCUGACAACUUCAUUUAGUAGGAUAAUCUCUAGGUCCAUCCAUGUUGCUGUAAAUGUCAUUAUUUCAUUCUUUUUAUGGUUGGGUAGUAUCCCAUUAUAUAUAUGUACCACAUCUUCUUUGUCUAGUCAUCUAUCCAUAGACAUUUAGGUUGUUUCCAUAUCUUGGCUAUUGUAUAUAAUGCUUCUAGGAACAUUGGGAUGCAUGCAUCUUUUUGAAUCAUGGUUGUGUCUGGGUUUAUGGUCAGGAGUGGGGUUUUUGGCUCAUAUGGCAACUUUGUUUUUAGUUUUUUGAGGAACAUCCAUACUGUUUUCCCUAGUGGCUGCACCAAUUUACAUUCCCAUCAACAGUGUAAGAGGUUCCCUUUUUCUAUGCCCUCUCCAGCAUUCAUUAUUUGUAGACUUUUUAAUGAUGGCCACAGAAUCUAAAAUCAUCCUGCAAGCAGAUAAGCUCCUCAAGAAGGAGGAGCUUUAGUUUUGAUAGCCCUCAGAGUGCCUGGAACAGAGUCUCCCAUCACACCUGAACAAAAGGAAUAAGAGCAGAUACAAAGAGGGGGAAGUGACAAGAAAAGAGCAGAUAGGGAAAGCCAGUUACAUUAAUGGAGAGAUGAAAGUCAUUUGAGAUGUAUGUAUCAAAUAACGAGGCCAGGGAUCAAACCCACAGUCUCAUGGUUACUGGUCAGAUUCAUUUCUGCUGUGCCACAGUGGGAACUUCCUGUUGCCAUACUUUUUAAUUACUAAAAGUUCUAUUUGGUUCUGUUUUCAAGGUCAGCCUGAUCCUUUUUUUUUAAAGAAUCUUGUACUUUUUCCUUAAGACUUUCUUUUAUAUAUUUAAUCCUUUAAAUCCUUUUGAAGAUCAUUUAUAUUCAAGAAUUAUAAUUUUUAAAGUUCUAUUUCUGUCUUUAGUACUGUUGGCUCUUUUUCAUAGUAUUGUUUCCUCCUAGGUUUUUCAGUUUUAGACUGUUAACUUGGCCUCACUGGAAUUUAAUCUCUCAAAAUCCCUCCAGAGGCACAUUAAGGGGUUGUUCUUCAAGAGAGGUGUUGCUUUUGCUUUUGUAAUGUACUCCAGGAGCAUCACCAUUUACACACCACUUUUAUGCUCUUAUCUCAAUUUAAAGUUUUCUACUUUUUCCCCAUAGCAUGGAUUUGAAUACCAGAUGGUUAUGUGGCUAUAAAUCCUCAGGGAUAUCUUAAAAAAAAAAAAAAA
Molecule: long non-coding RNA, 5632 nt
Filed under: Sus scrofa (pig)
Lineage: Eukaryota; Metazoa; Chordata; Mammalia; Artiodactyla; Suidae
Description: lncRNA (ENSSSCG00050024140.1)
Source: RNAcentral